RNAcentral lists this ribosomal RNA (475 nucleotides) under uncultured bacterium. RNAcentral's name for it is "bacterial SSU rRNA". It matches the Rfam family "Bacterial small subunit ribosomal RNA", at positions 335 to 802 of the family's 1533-position model. The record is from RNAcentral.
ACUCCUACGGGAGGCAGCAGUAGGGAAUCUUCCACAAUGGACGAAAGUACUGAUGGAGCAACGCCGCGUGAGUGAAGAAGGGUUUCGGCUCGUAAAACUCUGUUGUUAAAGAAAGAACAUAUCUGAGAGUAACUGUUCAGGUAUUGACGGUAUUUAACCAGAAAGCCACGGCUAACUACGUGCCAGCAGCCGCGGUAAUACGUAGGUGGCAAGCGUUGUCCGGAUUUAUUGGGCGUAAAGCGAGCGCAGGCGGUUUUUAAGUCUGAUGUGAAAGCCUUCGGCUCAACCGAAGAAGUGCAUCGGAAACUGGGAAACUUGAGUGCAGAAGAGGACAGUGGAACUCCAUGUGUAGCGGUGAAAUGCGUAGAUAUAUGGAAGAACACCAGUGGCGAAGGCGGCUGUCUGGUCUGUAACUGACGCUGAGGCUCGAAAGUAUGGGGUAGCAAACAGGAUUAGAUACCCUGGUAGGAUAGCG